This 70-nucleotide transfer RNA is filed under the name Caryophyllia scobinosa. RNAcentral describes it as "tRNA-Trp". It matches the Rfam family "tRNA". Rfam says of the family: Transfer RNA (tRNA) molecules are approximately 80 nucleotides in length. Their secondary structure includes four short double-helical elements and three loops (D, anti-codon, and T loops). Further hydrogen bonds mediate the characteristic L-shaped molecular structure. tRNAs have two regions of fundamental functional importance: the anti-codon, which is responsible for specific mRNA codon recognition, and the 3' end, to which the tRNAs corresponding amino acid is attached (by aminoacyl-tRNA synthetases). tRNAs cope with the degeneracy of the genetic code in two manners: having more than one tRNA (with a specific anti-codon) for a particular amino acid; and 'wobble' base-pairing, i.e. permitting non-standard base-pairing at the 3rd anti-codon position. Lineage: Eukaryota; Metazoa; Cnidaria; Anthozoa; Scleractinia; Caryophylliidae. The record is from RNAcentral.
AGGGUGGUCGGCCAAAGUAGGCCACUAGCCUUCAACUCUAGUAGCGCAGGUUCGAACCCUGCCCAUCCUG